CAAGGGAUCAUGGGAGCUGUAGUCCUAGACACGUUGUCUUCCUAGGACAAGGAGCGCCAGUUAACUACAACUCCCACAAUUCUCGGCGUGUACCUCAGAGUCUCAGUUGUACCUAAGCGCGGAAAUCUCAGGCGAGUGCGGCUUAUUAUGUGAGAAAAUCAUUGUAUCUAUAACUGAUCUCCGGGGGGAGACACUGAUGGCCCCUACAGUGUUGUGUCUUGUGGAAGACCUUUAAUGGACAGAUAUAACUAAGAAUAGGCCGAAUGGAAAUUGUAACCACUUAUGAGAAGAAGCCGACUCCAGGACUGGAAUUUACAGGGAAUUUCAAAAAAAUAUCAGUAACACCUGGAUUCCUGUAUGUACAGAGCAGAACAAAAGCAAGGCCUGAACUUAUGGAGGAAAGCUAAGAAAACACGAUCAGGAUGGUGCCAAUGUCAGUGGCCGUGCGGGGGUCCGCACCUGUGCUAUGUAUGUUCUAUCUACACACGUGUACGUUCAUGUCUAGUGCUCGGCAUUACAGCGACGCGUUCACACCCAGUGACCGCGCAGGCAGGUGCACCUUCUCAGGUCACGUCAGGCUCUUAUCACUUCACAUCUCUUUCCAGCCAGAUCCCGAUUCACGUCGCGACACGAAUGGCAAACACUUUAUUUCUAAAUUUGCUCAACAACUUCUGGCUUGGAGAUAAGAGUGUUACCCCCCCCCCUCCCCUCUGCUCCCGGGGCAUUCAAGGGGUAGAAUUUUCCCAGCAUUGAAUGUUCAUGGUCUAAGUCAAGACUAACAAAAAAUGGCAAUAAUCAUAAAUAAAGGUAUU
Hyla sarda is the source of this 812-nucleotide long non-coding RNA. RefSeq lists it as uncharacterized. The transcript is spliced from 3 exons. NCBI's taxonomy places the organism in Eukaryota, Metazoa, Chordata, Amphibia, Anura, Hylidae. The record is from RefSeq and is a predicted model, not a curated record.